This 177-nucleotide ribosomal RNA is filed under the name Vibrio cholerae. Its description in RNAcentral is "partial 23S ribosomal RNA". It matches the Rfam family "Bacterial large subunit ribosomal RNA", at positions 2748 to 2925 of the family's 2925-position model. Lineage: Bacteria; Pseudomonadati; Pseudomonadota; Gammaproteobacteria; Vibrionales; Vibrionaceae. The record is from RNAcentral. RNAcentral also lists the same sequence under 2 other names.
GCUAUGUGUGGACGGGAUAAGUGCUGAAAGCAUCUAAGCAUGAAGCCCCCCUCAAGAUGAGAUUUCCCAACUUCGGUUAUAAGAUCCCUCAAAGAUGAUGAGGUUAAUAGGUUCGAGGUGGAAGCAUGGUGACAUGUGGAGCUGACGAAUACUAAUCGAUCGAAGACUUAAUCAAAA